RNAcentral lists this ribosomal RNA (414 nucleotides) under uncultured microorganism. RNAcentral's name for it is "bacterial SSU rRNA". It matches the Rfam family "Archaeal small subunit ribosomal RNA", at positions 459 to 872 of the family's 1478-position model. The record is from RNAcentral.
CAGCCGCCGCGGUAAUACCGGCGGCCCGAGUGGCGGCCACUAUUAUUGGGCCUAAAGCGUCCGUAGCCGGGCUGGUAAGUCCUCCGGGAAAUCUGGUCGCUUAACGAUCAGACUUCCGGAGGAUACUGCUGGCCUAGGGACCGGGAGAGGCCGAGGGUAUUCCCGGGGUAGGGGUGAAAUCCUGUAAUCCCGGGAGGACCACCUGUGGCGAAGGCGCUCGGCUGGAACGGGUCCGACGGUGAGGGACGAAGGCCAGGGGAGCAAACCGGAUUAGAUACCCGGGUAGUCCUGGCUGUAAACGAUGCGGACUUUGUGUCGGACAAGCUAUGAGCUGGUCCGGUGCCGGAGGGAAACCGUUAAGUCCGCCGCCUGGGGAGUACGGCCGCAAGGCUGAAACUUAAAGGAAUUGGCGGG